CCCGCCCCCCGGCCCGACCAAUGACCUCAUGGCAGGCGCAGCGCUCCCCCGCACGGCGCCCAUUGGCCGAGCGAGCCGCCUGUAAUGGCGGCGGCACCGCCCCCCGAGCGCAAGAAGAACCCCCCGGGGACGCACUGAGCACAAGAUGGCGGUGCUGGCCUCCCGCCAGGGCCCAGGCGGGGCUCCUGCUGCCGCCAUUAGGCCCCUUCCCCUCCCCUCCGGUACAGCCUUGUGGCAGGCUAUGGGAGGCCUGAGCAUGGCAGUGAGGAAGCAGCCGACUCCAUCUUCUCUCUCUGUGUGUUCGUGUCCCGCGAUCAUCGCCGCGACCAUCGCCCCUGCACCCCCCCGGACAGCAGACUGCGCUCACCGCGACCGGACCGGCUCCGACAUCAGCCGGCCCACACUGCAGCACAGCGGCUCCGCCACGGGACUGCCCGCCGAUCGACCCAGCACGCCGCAACGGUCCUUUCCUCUCCUCUCUCUCUCUCCAGGAGCUGUAGGCUAGCCCAGAGCACGGCUGGUGCUCGCUUACCAGCCAAAUAUCGAAGCCGUGCAAUCCCCCUCCCCUAAACCCACCGUCACCCCUCCCCUCCCCUCGCUGGGGUGUCCCGAGCAGGGCCCGCUGCCGCCUCCCCGCGCCCCCUCCCUCGUCCUGGCCCUCACGAAACAAACCCACCCGGGCCGCCUCAAUUUUAAAAAAUGGUUUUUACCUCAGGAAUGGGCGCCAAAGGUGCAGUGGCGGUGACCCGGGCGGGCCGGUGCUGUGGCGGUGCCCAGCAGCGGCCCUCCCUCCCCCCGCGGGGGCGGCGAGGGGCUGUGGGGCCCGCGGAGGGGAGGGAGCCGGGGCUGUGUUGGGCCGGGGGUGUUUUGUUGUGUGUGCCGUGCCGUGCCCUGUGACAGGUCAGAGUUCGUGACCCCGCCGUCGCCGCCCGGGAGCGCGUCCCCGCUUCCUCUUCCAGCGCCCGCCCUGCCGCGGCCCCUCCAUCCCCCGCGGGGCGGGGCUGGCGGCGGGGAGGGGCUACCGGGCUACCUGGGCCGCCCGAGCCCCGCACCGCUCGGUCCGGGCCUGGCUGCCGGGGCAGUGCAGGGAGAAGCUCGGCCCCUGGGGCAGCGACGGGAAGGAACGGCCCCCGCCUUUGUCCGUCCCGCUCGGAAAGCUUCUCGGGAGCCGGUAGCCCGAGGUAAUGGGUUGGCGGUGGCUGUUCCGUGCGCCGGUGGUGCUGGUAUUCCACGUGUACCUUGGUUUUCGCUGAAGGUGCAGUCAAAGGCAGGCUCGCAGUCGAGAGGGGCUCUCACAAACGCCACCGCCAGAUUGUACCGAGUUCUUAUUUCAUUUUCUGAAGUCAGUGUCAUUGAUUAGGGCUCUCACGGUGAAGCUGGCCGUGAGUCUUGUUCUGCCUAUGAAUGCUCAGUGGUAGGCGCAAGCCAGGCUUGAGUGAGGGACUGUUUGUUUGUUUUUCUUAGAAGUGGCUACUUGGGGCAAGGAUAUGAGAAAUAAAGAAGUACACCUAUGAAUUACAGCCUGUCACAGAAUGGGACUUAGCAAAGCACAUGAUGUACAGAUGUCUUUGCAAUACAUAAAUAAAGGAAAAUGUCUCAA
Long non-coding RNA from Pseudopipra pipra, 1600 nucleotides. RefSeq lists it as uncharacterized. The transcript has 2 exons. NCBI's taxonomy places the organism in Eukaryota, Metazoa, Chordata, Aves, Passeriformes, Pipridae. The record is from RefSeq and is a predicted model, not a curated record.